CUCUCUCUCUUUCUCUCUCUCUCAAAAAUAAAUGUUAAAAAACAAUUAAAAAAAAUCUGUUCGUGGACCCACAGAAUUCAAACCCAUGUAUGUUUAAAGGUCCACUGUACUUGAUUGUUUUGGUCUGUCUUGUUAGAGAUUUUCCUCAGCUAUCUGGUGACCCUGGUCUGACCAGUCAUAUUACUUAAAGGUAGACAUUAGUAAGUGGGUUAGAUACUAUGAUUACACGAGUGGGCUUGUCCACCACAAGCUUCACUGGAAGGCUGUGUUUUUCAACUUCUGCCCGUGACAAUCACCUGGGGAGUUUUUACAACCGUGAUGCCUGACCCCUCCCUGACUAAUGAAAUCAGAAUCUCUGGAAGGCUGGGCUCUGGGAUUGGUUUGUUUUUAAAACUCCCCAGGGAGGUCUAAUUGCAGGUGAAGUUGAGAAUCCUGCUGCAGGGCGAUCCAGUUCAGCUGUCUUGGAAUGGCAAUAGUAGCAGAAACAAAGGGGUUUAAAUCUGAAGAAUGAGACUCACACGGCAGAUUUCAGGGACCACGAGUCUGGCAUCAAUAUGACAUUUCCUCUCCUGGGUUUGAUACUUGGCAUCAUCACAGCUGCUCAGAGAGGCGGAGGGAAUGGCUGAGGGUGUGCGCUCCAGCCCCUCCCUGAAGUCACCUACAGACCGUCCCUGCACACUGGCGACUUCCUGCGUCUCUUUCCGAGGCUGCUCUCUGGCUGGGGUGUGUGCUGGCCUGUGUGCACAGCUAGUAUGAAGUGCUGGGGAACUGACACCGUGGAGCCUUCCCCAGAUCUCCAACCACUUGGUGGGGGGGAGGGGGAUGGUAGAUGAAUGCCUGGCUUCUGCGCUCUCAGUGGGACAGCUCUGGGAGCUCCCUGUGGGUUGAGCCCCCGCAGUCAGCACUUCCUGACGUACCUCUUGUUGGCCUUCCUCCCUUCCCUGCCCUACCUCCCUGCUUCAGGAGCCAUGUCCCAGACAAACUACCUGUACCCACGCCCUUCGUCAUGGUCUGCUUUUGGGGACCCCCACAAAGUGCUAAGUAGUAAAACCAAGAUUUGGCCAGCUCAGGCUGACUCUGAAUCCCCUCCUCAUAUUGGUAGUUUUGGGUCUGUGGAAACUUGAAGGUCAAGACCAGAAUCUAGGUCUGGUUUGUUUAUGGCCCAGAUGUGGGAUUUCAGUGUGGCCUGGAUAGCCUUUCAACAGACAUUUGCCCACUAGAUGUAUUUCCUUCCACUCCAGACCUCAAGGAGAGCCCUGCCUCUUGCCUGGGGGCAGGUUGUUGGCCGUAGGAUGUUGGGGAGGCAAAUUCGGGAGGUGCCACCCCUCUGGUCACUCAUGCUUCUUUCUCUUUCCCGAGCUUGUCCUGGCCCCGCCUGGCAUCCUAGCUACUACUUUCAGGCUCCGUGAACUUGACAGGAAAAAGGAGGUUUUCUCCUAAAGGUGUGACCAGCGAAACCGGAUAACUGUCUGCAGGCACCGUGCGGAUGUGAAUGGUGUGCAUACUCCGGUCACUACCCUGGAGGUCCAAAAUUGGCUCGGGAAACCGGAUAAGCCUCCAAAGAACAAUCGCGUCUAUAGCAGCUCAAGAGAGGAGACUGGAGUAGUCCAGGGAGAAUUUCUGGAGAGGAUAGAAAGGUCACUUAGGCCUUGGCAGGGAAUAGAGGGGGCCCCCAAUGGGGUCCCUGAGGUCCCUGCACUUAGGGACCACUCACAGAGGGGAGUAUGGGGAAGAAAGAAAUCCCCCUGGGAAGGGGUGCUCACCACUCCUGGCUAGAAGGUCAAGGCCAGCUAGUGGUAUCAGAGCCUGGAGUGGAGCAGCCCACCUCAUCUGGAGCUGUUGGCCUGAGGGUGGGGGGUUGUGCACUGCUCUUCUGUAGCCGAGGACUCCAUUCUCUGACUACCCGUCCUGUCACCCUCUGGCUCUUGCUGGGACCUCCAUGCGAUGAGCCCAGCUGGAAGUCGAGGCACGCAGGGCAGGGCGGGGGAGGCCAGGAAGACAUCCAUCUAGUAGGGCUUCCGUGGAUCCUUGCCCAUAGUUGCAUCUGAGUAAUGUCUAGUACACAGAGGCCUGUUUUCACAAUCCUACUGUUCCUGUUCAAUCAGAAAAUGCACCAGUCCCAGAACUCCGUGUGUGGCUUUCUUUCCGACUGGAUGCCUCCCUUUCUCUAAAUGUAAAACAUUUGAACAGUCCCGCAUUUGGAGUGAUUGCUCCUUCUGUUCCUUUGCUUGUACCUCCCUGACCUUGAAAGAGCCAUUUUCCAGGACUGUUGCUAAUGGACCUUCACAUGAUGGCGAUAAAAUAUCCUGGCGCUCGGAGAAAAGAGAGGAGAAGCCCUCUUGAGUGAUUCUUCACAUUAUCCAAUGUCUUAUGAAAUGGCCCAGGUGACGGAUUCCCUCAGCCGUACUCCUGUGGCACCUUGGCCCCAUUUGUUUGGCCCCCACCUAAUGCUGGGAAUGAUGCUGUUUUAAAAUACCCUUUUUGCAAAACCCACCUCAAGUAAUGUCAUGGCCAACGGCUGACCCCCGGGGAGGCUUCACCAACCCACUGUGUGGGGAGGAUCCUGUGAGUAGAUGCAUUGGAAAUGUUCAGUGAGUUUUCUGAGACCUGAAAGAUGCCUUUAACUAGGAAGCUGGAUCUUUGAGCUCCUGUGCUUGUCAUUUCCCUUCACUUCCAGCAUGUAGCCAAUCUUGGAGCUUGCUGCCUGUCCAGAAGUCCUGAUGUUCAGAUUCCCAGCUGUUAGCUGCUUACUCCCUCCUGGUUAGAGGGUGGAAAUGAAUCCUUGCAGGACCAGCCUCUCAAACCUGGACUGGGAAUGAGUGACUGCUUGGUUGGAGGCCUUGGCUGUUGUCUAAGCACCGUCUAGCAGCUGCAGGAGGAUUCCUUGGGGUGAGCCACUGUGGGGUGCCAGUGGGGCUUUGAACCGCCUCUGAGCCACGUCUGCAGAGGGUGUGAGUGCAGGAUGCAGCGUUCUUGUGGGGUUUGAGAUCCACGCUUAGGUAGGACAGGCUGUGAUGCCAGGAGCCUUGUCCCAGGGCUGUAGCGUUCCCCAUCUGCUGAUAGAAGACCUUGGUUCCCUCCAGCUUUGGCCUCUAACUUCCUGGGGACCCUAGACAAGUAUCCUUUGUCCUUCAUGUUUCUCAUUAGCAAAGUGAGGUCCCCACUGGACCUGACAGCACAGCUGGGCUGUCACCAGGGUCCCUUUGCUCGUGACCCAGUCCCAGACCAGUAACCGUGGCUCAGAGUACCAGAGGAUGCCUCUACCAUGAGCCCAGUACUCCUGCAGUGUGGUUUUGAUGAGCUCCUCACUCACUGGGCAGGGACCCGAGGAGGAACUUUGACCUUGCUUAAGGUCUACUCAUUGGAAGGGUGGGGACCGAGGUCAGCACUUCUUAAAAAUUUUUUUUUUUCAACGUUUAUUUAUUUUUGGGACA
Molecule: long non-coding RNA, 3434 nt
Organism: Felis catus (domestic cat)
Lineage: Eukaryota; Metazoa; Chordata; Mammalia; Carnivora; Felidae
Exons: 3
Source: RefSeq, a predicted model, not a curated record